GGACAGGUGGCCGAGUGGUUAAAGGCAGCAGACUGUAAAUCUGCCGGGCUACGCCCUACGUUGGUUCGAACCCAACCCUGUCCACCA
RNAcentral lists this transfer RNA (87 nucleotides) under Sphingobium xenophagum. RNAcentral's name for it is "tRNA-Tyr". It matches the Rfam family "tRNA". Rfam says of the family: Transfer RNA (tRNA) molecules are approximately 80 nucleotides in length. Their secondary structure includes four short double-helical elements and three loops (D, anti-codon, and T loops). Further hydrogen bonds mediate the characteristic L-shaped molecular structure. tRNAs have two regions of fundamental functional importance: the anti-codon, which is responsible for specific mRNA codon recognition, and the 3' end, to which the tRNAs corresponding amino acid is attached (by aminoacyl-tRNA synthetases). tRNAs cope with the degeneracy of the genetic code in two manners: having more than one tRNA (with a specific anti-codon) for a particular amino acid; and 'wobble' base-pairing, i.e. permitting non-standard base-pairing at the 3rd anti-codon position. The record is from RNAcentral. Lineage: Bacteria; Pseudomonadati; Pseudomonadota; Alphaproteobacteria; Sphingomonadales; Sphingobiaceae. RNAcentral also lists the same sequence under 26 other names.